CUCAAUUGCCUCCUCUCCAGGCCUCAGCUGAAUUUGCAUCUUGUGCGAUCUAUACCAAUGAUAAUUACUUAGAUCAUACAAUUUCACUAUUUUAAUAUUUAUUAUUAAACUAGGGAUAAGACACAAGUACCCCCUAGACUAUGACUGAAAUCUCAGAUACACACUUAAACUUACUAGGGUCCUAUUACCCUGUUGAACUAAUUUAAAAUGGAAUAAAAACAC
Molecule: long non-coding RNA, 222 nt
Filed under: Solanum tuberosum (potato)
Lineage: Eukaryota; Viridiplantae; Streptophyta; Magnoliopsida; Solanales; Solanaceae
Description: long non-coding RNA (STUB_LNC006514)
Source: RNAcentral